UACAGGAAGAAAGUGGAUGCAU
RNAcentral lists this microRNA (22 nucleotides) under Monodelphis domestica (gray short-tailed opossum). RNAcentral describes it as "mdo-miR-12300-3p". The record is from miRBase by way of RNAcentral. Lineage: Eukaryota; Metazoa; Chordata; Mammalia; Didelphimorphia; Didelphidae.